GACGAACCGCGUGGCGCGCGCCUAACGACAUGCAAGUCGAACGGAGCGAGAGGAGAGCUUGCUUUCUCAAGCGAGUGGCGAACGGGUGAGUAACGCGUGAGGAACCUGCCUCAAAGAGGGGGACAACAGUUGGAAACGACUGCUAAUACCGCAUAAGCCCACAGCUCGGCAUCGAGCAGAGGGAAAAGGAGUGAUCCGCUUUGAGAUGGCCUCGCGUCCGAUUAGCUGGUUGGUGAGGUAACGGCCCACCAAGGCAACGAUCGGUAGCCGGACUGAGAGGUUGAACGGCCACAUUGGGACUGAGACACGGCCCAG
Molecule: ribosomal RNA, 315 nt
Filed under: uncultured bacterium
Lineage: Bacteria
Description: bacterial SSU rRNA
Rfam family: Bacterial small subunit ribosomal RNA
Source: RNAcentral